This 494-nucleotide long non-coding RNA is filed under the name Bos indicus x Bos taurus (hybrid cattle). RNAcentral's name for it is "lncRNA (ENSBIXG00000016538.1)". The record is from RNAcentral. Lineage: Eukaryota; Metazoa; Chordata; Mammalia; Artiodactyla; Bovidae.
CAGCUUCCACCUGACAGGUGCUUGAUUUAAUAACCACCCCCCCACCUCCACCCCGGCCCAGCCUCGUAUCAGCCCUGACAUGCCCAGGGAAUAAGACGGCAAAUUAGAGAGAUGGAAACUCCACUUCACUGCAAGCCAAGAUUUAGAUGGUCCUCGUAGCCCCUUAUUUAUAAAGUUUGGGUUUCCCUUUCACCUUUCAGUGAGAUUGGGAUGGCUUGCUGGCCCUAAAUAGUAAUGAAUUUGGGGCUGUGUUCUGCCUCCUGGCAUGAAGUGCUUAAUGAAUGUUCCCAUCUUUCUACAGGGAAAUCUCUCUCUCUGCUAAUUGCUGUCAUCAUCCAUCAAGAUCACCAACAGAGCAGCAUUCCAGCCAGAGAGGCCUUGGGGCCCAGAUGAUGCUACCCUGAAUUAGCCCAGCAAGUGUAACUUAGCUCACACCUCUGACUGAGCUGGCAGGCGUCUCUUAAGACUGUUGAAGUGUGGGGCUGAGUGUCCCA